GCUUAACACAUGCAAGUCGAACGGAGCGUCUUUGAUAGAGGAUUCGUCCAAUUGAUAAGAUUGCUUAGUGGCGGACGGGUGAGUAACGCGUGAGGAACCUGCCUUGGAGUGGGGAAUAACAGUUAGAAAUGACUGCUAAUACCGCAUAUGCCAUAUGGACCACAUGGUUCAAGUGGGAAAGGAGCAAUCCGCUGAUAGAUGGGCUUACGGCUGAUUAGCUAGUUGGUGGGGUAACGGCCUACCAAGGCGACGAUCAGUAGCCGGACUGAGAGGUUCAACGGCCACAUUGGGACUGAGACACGGUCCAGACUCCUACGGGAGGCAGCAGUGAGGAAUAUUGGUCAAUGGGCGGGAGCCUGAACCAGCCAAGUAGCGUGAAGGAUGACUGCCCUACGGGUUGUAAACUUCUUUUGUUUGGGAAUAAAAGACGCUACGUGUAGCGUUCUGCAUGUACCUUACGAAUAAGCAUCGGCUAAUUCCGUG
Molecule: ribosomal RNA, 483 nt
Filed under: uncultured bacterium
Lineage: Bacteria
Description: bacterial SSU rRNA
Rfam family: Bacterial small subunit ribosomal RNA
Source: RNAcentral